Molecule: ribosomal RNA, 22 nt
Filed under: Amanita rubescens
Lineage: Eukaryota; Fungi; Basidiomycota; Agaricomycetes; Agaricales; Amanitaceae
Also listed under: 10 other names
Description: partial 25S ribosomal RNA
Source: RNAcentral
UUGACCUCAAAUCAGGUAGGAC